Molecule: ribosomal RNA, 434 nt
Filed under: Sesamia poephaga
Lineage: Eukaryota; Metazoa; Arthropoda; Insecta; Lepidoptera; Noctuidae
Description: partial 16S large subunit ribosomal RNA
Source: RNAcentral
UAUUAAAGGGCUGCAGUAUAUUGACUGUACAAAGGUAGCAUAAUCAUUAGUCAUUUAAUUGAUGACUUGUAUGAAGGAUUGGAUGAAAUAUAAACUGUCUCUUAAUUAUUAUAUUUAGAACUUAAUUUUUUAAUUAAAAAGUUAAAAUAUAUUAAAAAGACGAGAAGACCCUAUAGAGUUUUAUGAAUUAAAUUAAUUAAGAUUAUUUGUAAGAUUAAAAUUAAAAUUAAUUUAUUUAUUUUGUUGGGGUGACAGAAAAAUAUAAUAAACUUUUUAUAUAUUUAAAACAUUAAUAAGUGAUUAAAUGAUCCAAUAUUAUUGAUUAUAAGAAAAAAUUACCUUAGGGAUAACAGCGUAAUUUUUUUUUUUAGUUCAUAUAAAAAAAAAAGUUUGCGACCUCGAUGUUGGAUUAAGAUAAAAUUUAAAUGCAGAAG